RNAcentral lists this unclassified non-coding RNA (207 nucleotides) under Hevea brasiliensis (rubber tree). Lineage: Eukaryota; Viridiplantae; Streptophyta; Magnoliopsida; Malpighiales; Euphorbiaceae. The record is from RNAcentral.
GGGAUUAAGGUGUAGUAGUUGUUGCUGUUGUAGUAUUCUAAAGGUUACAUACGGGUUGAUUUAUUAGAUGGUCACUCAACUAAUAUUAUUAUCUGAGAAAGUCACCUUUAUUGUUGAUUCUAACUUAUUUCAACAAACAAAGUGACUUUCUGAGAUAACAACUAUUAAUUGAGUGACCAUUUGAACAAUCAACUUGAUGACAUAUUU